GGAUCAAUAGCUCAGUGGUAGAGCAUGCGAUUGCAGAUCCGAGCUUCAAUCGCAGGGUCCCGUGUUCGAACCACGGUUGGUCCU
This 84-nucleotide transfer RNA is filed under the name Auricularia subglabra TFB-10046 SS5. It matches the Rfam family "tRNA". From Rfam's summary of the family: Transfer RNA (tRNA) molecules are approximately 80 nucleotides in length. Lineage: Eukaryota; Fungi; Basidiomycota; Agaricomycetes; Auriculariales; Auriculariaceae. The record is from Rfam by way of RNAcentral.